This 977-nucleotide long non-coding RNA is filed under the name Vulpes vulpes (red fox). Its description in RNAcentral is "lncRNA (ENSVVUG00000010618.1)". The record is from RNAcentral. Lineage: Eukaryota; Metazoa; Chordata; Mammalia; Carnivora; Canidae.
CUUUCUUGAAUUCCCGGUUUUAUUUAUUUAUUUUUUUAAAUUUUUAUUUAUUUAUGAUAGUCACAGAGAGAGAGAGAGAGAGAGAGAGAGAGAGAGGCAGAGACACAGGCAGAGGGAGAAGCAGGCUCCAUGCACUGGGAGCCUGAUGUGGGAUUUGAUCCCGGGUCUCCAGGAUCGCACCCUGGACCAAAGGCAGGCCCCAAACCGCUGCGCCACACAGGAAUCCGAAUUCCCGGUUUUAAAUGGACUUUUUCUUGAUUUUGCCUUCACUUGAUCGAUGUAAGCUUUUUGUUUUUUCAGAGUUUUUACAAUACUGGUUUUGACAAUUUUUGCUUGUUUUUUGGAACUUGUGUGGAGAGAGAAGAGCUUGGGGCUGGCUACUGCUCCAUUUUUCUGAUGUCCAACAUAACAGAAUUCUUUAGGAGAUCAAUUCUAGAGCAACUUUUGAAUAGAGUCCAAGUGGAGCCAAGAAUGAGCAUAUUUUCAUUGAACAUCUAGAAAGUUAAAGGGAAAAUCUCAGCAGAAACCAGAAUGGUGUUGCCUCCUCUCACAUCUUCAUCCUCUCUCCCACCUCCCAUGGAAGAAAGGAGACACAAGCACUCACGGACUCUGACCAACAGUGCUCUGCCACCUUCAACACCCUCAGUGGGUCCUGAGGUAUCUCAAAGAUUUCCCAAGACAUUGGAGGAGAAGCACACAAUUUCACUUUGAGAUGGGACACCCAACUUAUGUGUUAUCUUCCACUUGACUCAGAAAAUCAUUUGAAAUGAGCUAUGGCUCCAGUCUGGCAUGUCCAGAGGCAAGGAUGAGCUCAUGCUCAUCCCACAGCAUGCUCUGUUCUAACUAAUCAGACCCUUCCUGACCUACACACACACCUCAGCCCCACUAUAAUGAGAAGGAAAUAUGCUUGUGUUUUAUUCUGGUUAUGAUAUGACAUCCAAACUGUUAUGUUUCUAUUUCUAAAUUCAAUUAAAAAA